This 306-nucleotide long non-coding RNA is filed under the name Hordeum vulgare. RNAcentral describes it as "long non-coding RNA (HVUL_LNC021581)". Lineage: Eukaryota; Viridiplantae; Streptophyta; Magnoliopsida; Poales; Poaceae. The record is from RNAcentral.
UCGUCGUUGUUGUUGUUGUUGUUGUUGUUGUUGUUGUUGUUGUCGUUGUCGUCGUCGUCGUCGUUGUUGUUGUUGUUGUUGUCGUUGUCGUCGUUGUCGUCGUCGUCGUACUUUUUAUUUUUGGUGGUGUUGUUGUUGUUGUUGCUUAGGGAGUCUCUGAUCCCCAAAAAGUUCAACCCCUAUGAAUGAGCUUUGAGCCUUCUUUUAUAGGAAAGGGGUCACCAAUAGUGUGCUCACGGGAUGCACAGUGACUAGUGUUCACCACUCUACUUCGUCGGUGGUGUGAGGGGUAGUAAAUGCCUUGUC